This 524-nucleotide ribosomal RNA is filed under the name uncultured bacterium. RNAcentral's name for it is "bacterial SSU rRNA". It matches the Rfam family "Bacterial small subunit ribosomal RNA", at positions 382 to 901 of the family's 1533-position model. The record is from RNAcentral.
CCUGAUCCGGCAAUGCCGCGUGUGUGAAGAAGGCCUUCGGGUUGUAAAGACGAGAAAAAAGAAAUCCUUGGCUCUAAUACAGUCGGGGGAGACGGAACCGGAAGAAUAAGCACCGGCUAACUACGUGCCGGCAGCCGCGGUAAUACGUAGGGUGCGAGCGCUAAUCGGAAUUACUGGGCGUAAAGCGUGCGCAGGCGGUUUGCUAAGACCGAUGUGAAAUCCCCGGGCUCAACCUGGGAACUGCAUUGGUGACUGGCAGGCUAGAGUAUGGCAGAGGGGGGUAGAAUUCCACGUGUAGCAGUGAAAUGCGUAGAGAUGUGGAGGAAUACCGAUGGCGAAGGCAGCCCCCUGGGCCAAUACUGACGCUCAUGCACGAAAGCGUGGGGAGCAAACAGGAUUAUAUACCCUGGUAGUCCACGCCCUAAACGAUUGUCAACUAGUUGUUGGGGAUUCAUUUCCUUAGUAACGUAGUUUAAUUCGUGAAGUUUGACCGCCCUGGGGAGUACGGUCGCAAGAAUAAAAUU